This 74-nucleotide transfer RNA is filed under the name Clostridia bacterium. Its description in RNAcentral is "tRNA-Asp". It matches the Rfam family "tRNA". From Rfam's summary of the family: Transfer RNA (tRNA) molecules are approximately 80 nucleotides in length. Their secondary structure includes four short double-helical elements and three loops (D, anti-codon, and T loops). The record is from RNAcentral. Lineage: Bacteria; Bacillati; Bacillota; Clostridia.
GGCCUGGUAGCUCAGUUGGUUAGAGCGCCGCCCUGUCACGGCGGAGGUCGUGGGUUCGAGCCCCAUCCAGGUCG